This 253-nucleotide ribosomal RNA is filed under the name uncultured bacterium. RNAcentral's name for it is "partial 16S ribosomal RNA". It matches the Rfam family "Bacterial small subunit ribosomal RNA", at positions 524 to 776 of the family's 1533-position model. The record is from RNAcentral.
GACGAACCGUGCGAACGUUAUUCGGAAUCACUGGGCUUAAAGGGCGCGUAGGCGGGCGACCAAGUCCGGGGUGAAAGCCCACGGCCCAACCGUGGAAGGGCCCCGGAUACUGGUCGCCUCGAGGGAGGUAGGGGCGUGUGGAACUUCCGGUGGAGCGGUGAAAUGCGUAGAGAUCGGAAGGAACGCCGGUGGCGAAAGCGACACGCUGGACCUCUGCUGACGCUGAGGCGCGAAAGCCAGGGGAGCAAACGGG